GUAGUCCAGAAUUCGGCUUAGAGUUUGAUCCUGGCUCAGGAUGAACGCUGGCGGCGUGCCUAAUACAUGCAAGUCGAACGAGGGUGCUUGCACCCUAGUGGCGAACGGGUGAGUAACACGUAGGUAACCUGCCCUUAAGCUUGGGAUACCCAGAGGAAACUUUGGCUAAUACCGGAUAACAACAGAGGAGGCAUCUCCUUUGCUUGAAAGGCCCUGCAAGGGGUCACUUAAGGAUGGACCUGCGGCGCAUUAGCUAGUUGGUGAGAUAACAGCCCACCAAGGCGAGGAUGCGUAGCCGACCUGAGAGGGUGAUCGGCCACAUUGGAACUGAGACACGGUCCAAACUCCUACGGGAGGCAGCAGUAAGGAGUUUUCGGCAAUGGGGGAAACCCUGACCGAGCAACGCCGCGUGAGUGAUGACGGCCCUAUGGGUUGUAAAGCUCUGUUGUAAGGGACGAAUGAAUUGCUUAGGAAAUGAAGCGAUUUUGACAGUACCUUACCAGAAAGCCACGGCUAACUACGUGCCAGCAGCCGCGGUAAUACGUAGGUGGCAAGCGUUAUCCGGAAUUAUUGGGCGUAAAGAGGGAGCAGGCGACAAGAUAAGUUUGAAGUGAAAGCGUGGGGCUCAACCCCAUACAGCUUCGAAAACUGUCUAGUUAGAGUACGAGAGAAGUGAACGGAACUCCAUGUGUAGCGGUGAAAUGCGUAGAUAUAUAGAAGAACACCAGUGGCGAAGGCGGUUCACUAGCUCGAAACUGACGCUCAGUCCCGAAAGCGUGGGUAGCAAAUAGGAUUAGAAC
This 800-nucleotide ribosomal RNA is filed under the name uncultured Bacillota bacterium. RNAcentral describes it as "bacterial SSU rRNA". It matches the Rfam family "Bacterial small subunit ribosomal RNA", at positions 1 to 784 of the family's 1533-position model. The record is from RNAcentral. Lineage: Bacteria; Bacillati; Bacillota.